UACGAAGGGGGCUAGCGUUGUUCGGAAUUACUGGGCGUAAAGCGCACGUAGGCGGAUUGUUAAGUUAGGGGUGAAAUCCCGGAGCUCAACUCCGGAACUGCCUUUCAUACUGGCAAUCUAGAGUCCGGAAGAGGUGAGUGGAACUCCUAGUGUAGAGGUGGAAUUCGUAGAUAUCAGGAGGAACACCUGUGGCGAAAGCGGCUCACUGGACCAUAACUGACGCUGAUGCACGAAAGCUAGGGGAGCAAACAGG
This 253-nucleotide ribosomal RNA is filed under the name uncultured bacterium. RNAcentral's name for it is "partial 16S ribosomal RNA". It matches the Rfam family "Bacterial small subunit ribosomal RNA", at positions 524 to 776 of the family's 1533-position model. The record is from RNAcentral.